This is a long non-coding RNA of Xiphophorus hellerii (green swordtail), 794 nucleotides long. RefSeq lists it as uncharacterized. The transcript is spliced from 4 exons. NCBI's taxonomy places the organism in Eukaryota, Metazoa, Chordata, Actinopteri, Cyprinodontiformes, Poeciliidae. The record is from RefSeq and is a predicted model, not a curated record.
UGUGUGUGUGUGUUUGGUGUAUGCGCUGAUCCAACAGGCCAUCGUCCUGAUAUGUCAAAUCCCUGGAUGGAGUAAAGAGAAGGAGACUGUAGAGGGGGUGUUCAUGUGUGUGUGGGUGUUGGGGUGUACUGUAUGUGUGUGCUGUAGCCAAGGCGGAUGUUUUCUGAGCUCAGCAGCCGUGUCGGAGUAAGGACACGGAGAGAGAGGGAGAGACUACCAAACAGAAAUGCUGCAACAGUGAAUGAAGAACAUCCUACGCGAAGAACAAUUACCGCCGCGACCUGUCUUGGCUUCUUUGCAGUAGAUCCUAGAGCUCCUUUGAGCUAAUUCACACGAGGGUAGCAGAGGUUCCCUGGUUGGAGAUGAACUCCACGGACAUCAAAGCCGUUUCUACAGCAGCGCCACAAGGAGAGUUUAGAGUCUGGAGUAAUUAAUGCUGGCACACAGAGACGUCUCUGUCCAAAGCUGCUAGGAGAGAACAGGGGCUUUGGUGGAAAUACAUAUCCCACCUGUGGGGUGGUGCGGUGAUUAGUGCUAUCACCUCACAGCAAGACGUUCCCCGCUUCAGACCUCAGCUUCAGGAAGCAGCUUAUGGUUACACUGGGAUGGGAUACGAGCAGCCUGAUGAGUGCUUCUGUCCAGCGUUUUAAAAAUAUGAACCGGAGAGAUGCAUUUGUGUGUUCUGCAUAUCACAGUCAGUUUAAGAUCAUGUUGCAUGCUGGGUGCAUGUAACUCCUGGAGGCUUCAGAGACGGUGAAAAAAGUAUAUAUGGCAAUAAAGCUUUGUGAUUCUGA